UGGCCGUCGUCAGCUCGUGCCCGUGAGGUGUUGGGUUAAGUCCCGCAACGAGCGCAACCCCCGCCGUUAGUUGCCAGCGGUUCGGCCGGGCACUCUAACGGGGACUGCCCGCGAAAGCCGGGAGGAAGGAGGGGGACGACGUCUGGUCAGCAUGGCCCUUACGGCCUGGGCGACACACGUGCUACAAUGCCCACUACAAAGCGAUGCCACCCGGCAACGGGGAGCUAAUCGCAAAAAGGUGGGCCCAGUUCGGAUUGGGGUCUGCAACCCGACCCCAUGAAGUCGGAGUCGCUAGUAAUCGCAGAUCAGCAACGCUGCGUGACUACGUUCCGAGCCUU
This 338-nucleotide ribosomal RNA is filed under the name uncultured Thermus sp. RNAcentral describes it as "bacterial SSU rRNA". It matches the Rfam family "Bacterial small subunit ribosomal RNA", at positions 1046 to 1382 of the family's 1533-position model. Lineage: Bacteria; Thermotogati; Deinococcota; Deinococci; Thermales; Thermaceae. The record is from RNAcentral.